AUGAACGCUGGCGGCGUGCCUAAUACAUGCAAGUCGAGCGAACAGACGAGGAGCUUGCUCCUCUGACGUUAGCGGCGGACGGGUGAGUAACACGUGGAUAACCUACCUAUAAGACUGGGAUAACUUCGGGAAACCGGAGCUACUACCGGAUAAUAUAUUGAACCGCAUGGUUCAAUAGUGAAAGACGGUUUUGCUGUCACUUAUAGAUGGAUCCGCGCCGCAUUAGCUAGUUGGUAAGGUAACGGCUUACCAAGGCAACGAUGCGUAGCCGACCUGAGAGGGUGAUCGGCCACACUGGAACUGAGACACGGUCCAGACUCCUACGGGAGGCAGCAGUAGGGAAUCUUCCGCAAUGGGCGAAAGCUUGACGGAGCAACGCCGCGUGAGUGAUGAAGGUCUUCGGAUCGUAAAACUCUGUUAUUAGGGAUGAACAAAUGUGUAAGUAACUAUGCACGUCUUGACGGUACCUAAUCAGAAAGCCACGGCUAACUACGUG
Molecule: ribosomal RNA, 496 nt
Filed under: uncultured bacterium
Lineage: Bacteria
Description: partial 16S ribosomal RNA
Rfam family: Bacterial small subunit ribosomal RNA
Source: RNAcentral